AGAAGGUGCACACCUUCCUGGAUUACAUCAUGGGUGGCUGCCAGAUCAGCUUCACGGUAGCCAUCGACUUCACCGCCUCCAAUGGGGACCCGAGGAGCAGCCAGUCCCUGCACUGCCUCAGUCCCCGACAGCCCAACCACUACCUGCAGGCCCUGCGUGCAGUGGGAGGCAUCUGCCAGGACUAUGACAGGUAGGAGGGAGUGGGGCGGGAGGGAACAGGCAGGGAGGCCUUGCCCAACGGAUUCCACAGCUUUUUCUUCUCCCCAGUGAUAAGCGGUUCCCAGCUUUUGGCUUUGGGGCUCGAAUCCCCCCCAACUUCGAGGUGUCCCAUGACUUUGCUAUCAACUUUGACCCGGAAAAUCCUGAAUGUGAAGGUAAAAGGGGAGAUUUUCACCUGCCCCGCCUCCCCGCAGACACACUCCACACAGGAGCACAGACUCCAUUCCCCAGGGCCCAGCUUCCUGUCCCUUCCACCCAUCCCAGGCCUGUCUUUAUCAGGUGAGGCUUCCAGGGCCGAGGCCCAGCAUCUGCACCCAACUCUCCCUGCCAAGGGACCAUCCAACUCUCCCACUGCUUAAUGAAGGAACUCGAGGGGAGGGCAGUCCUCAGACCUGGAAGCAUUUCCUUGCUUUAAGGAGUGUCAGGAGGGGGCCCUGC
This 657-nucleotide small RNA is filed under the name Pan troglodytes (chimpanzee). Its description in RNAcentral is "retained intron". Lineage: Eukaryota; Metazoa; Chordata; Mammalia; Primates; Hominidae. The record is from RNAcentral.